CCUACGGGUGGCAGCAGUGAGGAAUAUUGGUCAAUGGGCGCGAGCCUGAACCAGCCAAGUAGCGUGAAGGAUGACUGCCCUACGGGUUGUAAACUUCUUUUAUAAAGGAAUAAAGUGAGGCACGAGUGCCUUUUUGUAUGUACUUUAUGAAUAAGGAACGGCUAACCCCGUGCCAGCAGCCGCGGUAAUACGGAGGAUCCGAGCGUUAUCCGGAUUUAUUGGGUUUAAAGGGAGCGUAGGUGGGUUGUUAAGUCAGUUGUGAAAGUUUGGGGCUCAACCGGAGAAUUGCAAUUGAUACUGGCAGCCUUGAGUACAGUUGAGGUAGGCGGAAUUCGUGGUGUAGCGGUGAAAUGCUUAGAUAUCACGAAGAACUCCGAUUGCGAAGGCAGCCUACUAAACUGACACUGACGUUGAUGCUCGAAAGUGUGGGUAUCAAACAGGAUUAGAUACCCGAGUAGUC
RNAcentral lists this ribosomal RNA (460 nucleotides) under uncultured bacterium. RNAcentral describes it as "partial 16S ribosomal RNA". It matches the Rfam family "Bacterial small subunit ribosomal RNA", at positions 338 to 795 of the family's 1533-position model. The record is from RNAcentral.